This 637-nucleotide long non-coding RNA is filed under the name Homo sapiens (human). RNAcentral describes it as "HSALNT0307910". Lineage: Eukaryota; Metazoa; Chordata; Mammalia; Primates; Hominidae. The record is from RNAcentral.
UUGAGAUUCCCAAUGAAUACACGGGAGUUCAUGGAACGAGGAUCUGUCUUGUUGGUAACGUUGCUGGCCAUUGUGUUUGAUGGAAUCUAGCGCUUCAGGAUUAUGUGCACUCUUGCUAAUCCAAGUGUUAUCCCUGAACCAGCAGCAUCAGCAUCACCAGAGAACUUGCUGGAAAUGCAGAAUAUCAGACUCUACCCCAGACCUACUUAAUCAGAGAAGCCCAGAGAGAUUCAUAUGCACAUUAAAGUUGGAGAAGUCCCAUACUCAUAUACUAGCAUAAACAGAGUAUCCUCAAACUCAUAACAAAGAAACCUACAAAACAUGAAGUACUGUCCUUUCAAUUUAGGGGCAGAGGAUUGGACAUUUUAUUUUAUUUUUUUAUGGGGGAAUACAGCUAAAACUGAAUUGCUUCAAUAAAGUCUUUGACAAUUUAAAAGCUGAAUGUGUGUGUGUGGCUGGGAAUCUUGUUUUCAUCUGGGAUCAAGAAUUAUUACUAUGUAUAUGGGGAAGUGUUUCUUCUACAACAGCUAUUGACUAAGAAAACUAAGGAGAAAAGACCAAAAAAGAGUGCAAAUAACUUCAAAAUAGAUAACGAGUAUCAUACGUAUUUAGUAAUUUACAUGUAAAAAUGUAGAAU